Non-coding RNA from Paramuricea clavata, 563 nucleotides. The record is from the annotation of a GenBank genome assembly. Lineage: Eukaryota; Metazoa; Cnidaria; Anthozoa; Malacalcyonacea; Plexauridae.
UUCCAUUUCAUAGGAUGAACUACUCGGCUUCAUCAAAGAUCUGUUCAGUUUCCAAACAGCUGAUUAUAGUUCUCUAGAAAGUCUAUCGUCAGAUAUUUCUAAACUUGCUGAAAAGAGGUACGAAAACUUGAGCACUUUGUUAAGACAAGCAAACACCAAUGGUACAGGCUGACUACUACUAGUACUGAACAGCUACUUUUGUGAUAUUCCUUGUCUUCCUUGGCAAAUCUUCGCAGAAGCUGAACUCUGCCUCUGGUGAAAAUACUGCCAGGGUCGUACAAGGUCGUAAGGGAUCCUGGACAGAUCUUAUUCCGUAGAGACGUGAAAAAACACCAAUCCGUACCUUUUAGGAACGCUAUUUUCAGAGGAAUUAUUGCAACAGAGAGAUGUUGUUUCGCUCAGCUUCUGAAAGUUGUACAUUCCGUUUCGGAUAGGUGCUUUUUCAUGUCGCUACGGAAAGCUAUCUGGUUUCGCCCGUCCUUUAAUCCAGGGGUUUCAGAAUGAUUUGAAGUAGGCGGUUGUACCAAAAAAGUAGCCGGCUGUGACUGAUAGUUAAAAAAACG